UGAAUGGUAUAAAAGAGGCGCCCCCGCAUAGGGAAGACCAAACGAAUUCAAAGUAUCUCUUCUCAAAUUAUCAUUGUGCAAGAGGUUAAAACUCUGUUUCGUUGGCAAAUUAAAAUGAAUCUACUACACGGUUUGUUUUUGGUGCUAUUUAUCGUUGAAUUUUCGGAACUUCAAGGAAAUCAUGGCUUUUUCUCGCAAGCUCUUCUCAAGGGCGAAGUAAUUGAAAACAUGUCACAGGCAAAGUUUGUAGCUGGAAUCCAUGCCCCUGC
Sitodiplosis mosellana (orange wheat blossom midge) is the source of this 269-nucleotide long non-coding RNA. RefSeq lists it as uncharacterized. The transcript has 3 exons. Lineage: Eukaryota; Metazoa; Arthropoda; Insecta; Diptera; Cecidomyiidae. The record is from RefSeq and is a predicted model, not a curated record.